AUUUUUUUCUUUCCCUUUUCCUUCUUUUUUUCUUCUUCUUUCUCGUUUCUCUCUGCUCCUCCUCCAAAAACACCCCCUCCACUUCUUUCCUCGAUUUCAUUUACUUAGGGCGUGAUUUCGAACAAAGCCCAAGAAUUAAAGUUGUUAUAUGGAGCGCGGGCUUUCUAUCCAUCCAAAAAAAAUCAUGAUCGGACCUCAUGGAGCUACGGUUGACUUGGUCAAAGGGUCGGGUUUUGCUCAAAACCUUUGAGGUAUGAUUCAAGGAUGUUGGCAUGGAGUGCUUUGUUGUGCAUUUGUGACCAAACCUUUAAAAGGUAUUCAAGAAGGAUUUCAUAGCACAAGAUCUGAAAGAGCAUUUUUAGGAAAGAUAUUAUUUAUAAAUUGUAAUAAUAUUUCUGUAGGAUACUGGUAUUUUGAUGACUUGGGGCCUUCGAGUUGGAAAUGUAAUAUUUGAAUUUUAUUUGAGAACAGUGAACAGAGAGGUCUUUUGGGGUAUUAUUUAUAUUACAGCGAGGACUUUAUUUAUUAAAAGUGUUUAUUAUUUAUGUUGAAAA
Long non-coding RNA from Rhododendron vialii, 554 nucleotides. RefSeq lists it as uncharacterized. The record is from RefSeq and is a predicted model, not a curated record. NCBI's taxonomy places the organism in Eukaryota, Viridiplantae, Streptophyta, Magnoliopsida, Ericales, Ericaceae. The transcript is spliced from 2 exons.